CCUACGGGAGGCAGCAGUGGGGAAUCUUGCGCAAUGCGCGAAAGCGUGACGCAGCAACGCCGCGUGGGGGAAGACGGCCUUCGGGUUGUAAACCCCUUUCAGGAGGGACGAAGGUUCGCCGGUGAAUAGCCGUGCGGAUUGACGGUACCUCCACAAGAGGCUCCGGCUAACUACGUGCCAGCAGCCGCGGUAAUACGUAGGGAGCAAGCGUUGUCCGGAAUCAUCGGGCGUAAAGCGCGCGUAGGUGGCCUCAUAAGUCCGCUGUGAAAGUCAAAGGCUCAACCUUUGAAAGCCGGUGGAUACUGUGAGGCUAGAGUACGGAAGAGGCGAGUGGAAUUCCUGGUGUAGCGGUGGAAUGCGCAGAUAUCAGGAGGAACACCAAUAGCGAAGGCAGCUCGCUGGGACGUUACUGACACUGAGGCGCGAAAGCGUGGGGAGCGAACAGGAUUAGAUACCCUGGUAGUCCACGCCGUAAACGAUGGGUACUAGGUGUGGGAGGUGUCGACUCCUCCCGUGCCGUCGCUAACGCACUAAGUACCCCGCCUGGGGAGUACGGCCGCAAGGCUAAAACUCAAAGGAAUUGACGGGGGCCCGCACAAGCGGCGGAGCGUGCGGUUUAAUUCGACGCAACGCGCAGAACCUUACCAGGGCUUGACAUGGACCUGCACACGCCGGAAACGGUGGAGCCUUCGAGGGUGGUCCACAGGUGCUGCAUGGCUGUCGUCAGCUCGUGUCGUGAGAUGCUGGGUUAAGUCUCGCAACGAGCGCAACCCUCGUGGCUAGUUGUGUGAUGUUCUAGCCAGACUGCCGCGAGCCACGCGCGAGGAAGGUGGGCAUGACUUCCACUCACCUUGUCCCUUCCUUCUUGGGCGAUCGUCCGCUUCCUGGCGGUUAAUGUGCCUCGCUCAUCGCCAUCCGGAUCGCUCCCCUCCACCCUCCUUUACUUGGAAUUUUGGUUUUCAUUUUCCCCAUGU
Molecule: ribosomal RNA, 974 nt
Filed under: uncultured bacterium
Lineage: Bacteria
Description: bacterial SSU rRNA
Rfam family: Bacterial small subunit ribosomal RNA
Source: RNAcentral